This 327-nucleotide ribosomal RNA is filed under the name uncultured Pseudomonadota bacterium. RNAcentral's name for it is "bacterial SSU rRNA". It matches the Rfam family "Bacterial small subunit ribosomal RNA", at positions 30 to 351 of the family's 1533-position model. Lineage: Bacteria; Pseudomonadati; Pseudomonadota. The record is from RNAcentral.
AUUGAACGCUAGCGGCAUGCUUAACACAUGCAAGUCGAACGGUAGCAGACCUAGCUUGCUAGGUGCUGACGAGUGGCGGACGGGUGAGUAACGCGUAGGAAUCUACCUUGUAGUGGGGAAUAACUUGGGGAAACUCAAGCUAAUACCGCAUAAGCCCGAAAGGGGAAAGCGGGGGACUGUAACAGGCCUCGCGCUAUGAGAUGAGCCUGCGUCGGAUUAGCUAGUUGGUGGGGUAAAGGCCUACCAAGGCGAGGAUCCGUAGCUGGUCUGAGAGGACGACCAGCCACACUGGGACUGAGACACGGCCCAGACUCCUACGGGAGGCAG